This 407-nucleotide ribosomal RNA is filed under the name Laomenes ceratophthalmus. Its description in RNAcentral is "partial 12S ribosomal RNA". Lineage: Eukaryota; Metazoa; Arthropoda; Malacostraca; Decapoda; Palaemonidae. The record is from RNAcentral.
UAAACUAGGAUUAGAUACCCUAUUAUACUUUAUAUAGAAAUAUAUGGCUGGAGUAGUAAAUAGUUAUGGUCUAUAAAUUUAAAGGAUUUGGCGGUAUUCAAGUCUAGUUAGAGGAGCCUGCACUUUAAACGAUAGUCCACGAAUAAUCUUACUUUGUUUUGUAAUUUCAGUUUGUAUACCGUCAUUAUAAAGUAAUAAUUAAAGUUAUUUAACUAGGAUAGAAAAGUUUUAUUUAUAUUAGAUCAAGGUGCAGCUAAUGAUAAAGUAGUUGUGGGCUACAGUAUUAUGUAGAUAAUACGGAUAAAAUUUUGAAAUAGGUUUUGUAAGGUGGAUUUAAUAGUAAAUUUAUGUUUAAUAAGGUAAGUUGAUAAAAGCUCUAGAAUAUGUACACAUCCCCCGCUCUAGAA